RNAcentral lists this long non-coding RNA (1329 nucleotides) under Canis lupus familiaris (dog). RNAcentral's name for it is "lncRNA (ENSCAFG00040004526.1)". The record is from RNAcentral. Lineage: Eukaryota; Metazoa; Chordata; Mammalia; Carnivora; Canidae.
AUGGUUCUGUGCCCUCCUGCCCCGGCACAGGCCCCGCAGGGGUUUACUCCUUCCUGGCACAGGGCCUCAUGCCCACGAGGGCCCGGCGGAAACCCAGCGCGGGGCACCCUGCAGCCCUCGGGGCCCCUUGGUCAUUCAGAGGGAGGCCAGGGCUGGGCCCCUGGGACCAGGCCCUGGUGGGGUCCCCUGUGUCUGGGCCCUUGGGGCGGCUGUCAGCCCCUGGUGUGGGGGCGGAGGGAGGAGGUGGGACGGGUGGGCUGGGGUGGGCGUGGGCCGGCCACCAGGGGAGGUCCGGGGGCUGGGAGCACAGGGCGGUGGGGACGGGCCCGCAGGGCGAUGGUGAUGAGGGCGACCCGAGGGCUGGCCCGGGUGCCCCUCACCCCGUGUCUCCUGCGCACACACCUGCUGCUGUGGGGCCUGUGUCAGGGCCUUGGGGGAGGGCAGGCUGCGCUCCUGUGGCCCACGGAGGCCAUAGCAGGGGGGCUGCUGGCAGGGCUCAGGGGGCCUCAACGAGGGUGGGAGUGUCCGUGCUCAGGGCACCCAGACGUCCUGCUGCGGGCCCUCGAGGCUCCCUGCAUGGCCGACCCGUGGGCACGGCUGUACUGCCGCAGGGAGGCGGGGAGCCCCUGGCGCUGGGGUGUCUACAGGGAGGGGGGAGGGAGGAGGGGCCCGGGGAGCCUCCCCCAGCACACCUGCUGCCCUAGGUCCCCGAGGCCCCCAGGUCCCCCCAGCAUGUCAGCUGCCCAAGGUCCCCAAUUCCCAUCCCCUGCACGCCCGCUGCCCCAGGUCUCCGAGGCCCCCCAGCCCACCCGCCGCCCCAGGUCCCCGAGGUCCCCCCAGCACACCCGCUGCCCCAGGUCCCGAGCCCCCCCGCAGCCUGCCCACUGCCCAGGUCCCAAGCCCCCCCCCAGCCUGCCCGCUGCCCCAGGUCCCCAAGGCCCCCAGGUCCCCCCAUCCUGCCUGCCGCCCGAGGUCCCCGAGCCCCCCCAGCCCGCGUCAGCCGCCUGCCCGCCUCUCAGAGGCUGUGGUCUCCGCGCUCCUGGCGGCCGCCUUCUCCAUCCCCACCUGGCUGGGGCCCCUGCAGGCUACGGGGCCUUGGCUUGUCCCCGGGUCCACGCGGCUCAGGGAGGGCGUCCCCCCCACCAUCCCGCCCAGGCGCGCUGCUGUGAGUCGCUCGCGCGUGGUUGCAGGCUUGAAAGAGAAGAGCGCUCCACGCGGCCGGUCGCAUGUCGCAUCCCCGGGGUGCCGCCGUCCUCACUCCUCUCCACCGCGAGGGCACCUCCGCCCUUGUCCCCGCAGUCGGCUGGCGGCGGCCCUCCGCGGUCCUGA